This 253-nucleotide ribosomal RNA is filed under the name uncultured bacterium. Its description in RNAcentral is "partial 16S ribosomal RNA". It matches the Rfam family "Bacterial small subunit ribosomal RNA", at positions 524 to 776 of the family's 1533-position model. The record is from RNAcentral.
UACGAAGGGGGCUAGCGUUGUUCGGAAUCACUGGGCGUAAAGCGCGCGUAGGCGGAUUGUUAAGUCAGGGGUGAAAUGCCGAGGCUCAACCUCGGAACUGCCUUUGAUACUGGCAAUCUUGAGUCCGGGAGAGGUGAGUGGAACUCCUAGUGUAGAGGUGAAAUUCGUAGAUAUUCGCAAGAACACCAGUGGCGAAGGCGGCUCACUGGCCCGGUACUGACGCUGAGGUGCGAAAGCGUGGGGAGCAAACAGG